Molecule: long non-coding RNA, 863 nt
Organism: Diabrotica virgifera virgifera (western corn rootworm)
Lineage: Eukaryota; Metazoa; Arthropoda; Insecta; Coleoptera; Chrysomelidae
Exons: 2
Source: RefSeq, a predicted model, not a curated record
CAUAUGUAGUAGCUAACUAAUUUUAGAAAAUAUAUGUAACACAUUUUAUUUAUUAUUUAUUACUUUAAUGAAAAUUAACCACAAUUUCAGUUUUCAGUUGACAAUACUUUAUUUUGACGUUUCAAUUUUCACCUCAGAAAUCAUUCUAAAAAUGCAAAAAUUAUUAUUUCCGGGGGGGCUCGGGGUCCCGGGGGGGCACGGGGUCCCGGGGGGCUCGGGGUCCCGGAGGGCAUGGCCCCCUCCCCCCUCUCUGGAUCCGCCUUUGCAACAGACUUUCUUAAUUGGGUUUUUUGGAAGAAAUAAAACUACUGAGCAACCCUUCUCUUUUCGGGAGGACUUCCUGAAGCGUGGAACCUCCAACAUCGCAGGCGAUGCAUCUGAAAUCUGAACAUCGACUGAACACCACCAACUACAACUGCAGGGACCUGAGGCCACAACAUCUAAGCCCAGGUCUGCAAUCAACCAGCAGCAAACAUCUAGAAGCUACCGACAGAUAAAAAGUGCCAUAAGUAUAAUCUGAACUGUCACCACACUCUCGGCGAAGUUACUGCGGCAAAGUUGACCGAAGUCCAAGUACCCAUCACUACACACUCGUUCAACUUCACGAGGAACACAUUCAAGCGGUGCGAUACCGACUUCGAUCCCUUUGACUCGGAUGCGUAAAACCGACAGAGAACGGAAGUAGAACGAAGCGAAGCAAAGUUGCAAGAAGUGGCUGUCUUCACUCUCGUACUUGCUUAACUUCGAUCAACUUCGCCGGGAGUAUGGUGCUCACUUUAGCUUUCGGCAAGGUCUUGAUAUCUUUGAUUUGAUAAUACAUUAUUUUAUUGUGUCUUUAACGAAAAAUAAACCUGAUUAGUUAA